GAUGAACGCUGGCGGCGUGCCUAAUACAUGCAAGUCGAGCGAACAGACGAGGAGCUUGCUCCUCUGACGUUAGCGGCGGACGGGUGAGUAACACGUGGAUAACCUACCUAUAAGACUGGGAUAACUUCGGGAAACCGGAGCUAAUACCGGAUAAUAUAUUGAACCGCAUGGUUCAAUAGUGAAAGACGGUUUUGCUGUCACUUAUAGAUGGAUCCGCGCCGCAUUGCUAGUUGGUAAGGUAACGGCUUACCAAGGCGACGAUGCGUAGCCGACCUGAGAGGGUGAUCGGCCACACUGGAACUGAGACACGGUCCAGACUCCUACGGGAGGCAGCAGUAGGGAAUCUUCCGCAAUGGGCGAAAGCCUGACGGAGCAACGCCGCGUGAGUGAUGAAGGUCUUCGGAUCGUAAAACUCUGUUAUUAGGGAAGAACAAAUGUGUAAGUAACUAUGCACGUCUUGACGGUACCUAAUCAGAAAGCCACGGCUAACUACGUG
This 496-nucleotide ribosomal RNA is filed under the name uncultured bacterium. RNAcentral's name for it is "partial 16S ribosomal RNA". It matches the Rfam family "Bacterial small subunit ribosomal RNA", at positions 28 to 507 of the family's 1533-position model. The record is from RNAcentral.